CAGCAGCUCAAGAAUUUAUGGCAGAAAUGUUUUUACAUGGGCCUUUUAUUUUGUAAUGUUUUGUCGGAAUAAACGAAAGUAAAAGAUAAAAUGUUAGAGGAUAAUUCUAGCACAGAACCUAGUGUCAUUAUAGAUAUAGCUGUUUCAGAAAGUACUAAAGAGGAACUAAAAGAACAUAGUGAUAAAGAAAGGAAAAGUUCAAAUAAAAAAGACUAUGUUGUGUACGAGUAUUAUGGACAGAACAUACCGCCGUCCGUUACAUGGGUACAGUUUUUCGGAACAGAUGACACAGAAGACGCUCGACCUGAAUCAAACACUCCAUUUGAUCCAAAAACCAGGAAUGCCUUUGUACGGCUUGUGUUUAUGAUCGUUUUCGCCAUGAUUCUCGUCACUAUGAUCAUUAAUCUUAUCUUUAGAUUUACACCGCCCUUAGCCAGGCUUUUAACUGGAAAAUCUGGACUUAUUAUAGCGAUCGUAUAAUUGUUUAUUUCGUUUUGACAAUCUCGGUCGCGUCUAAAUGCGCCUGGUAUCCGCCUGGUAACUACAUUAUACUUGUAUCAUCGGUAAUUGUGUUUAGUAUCAUCACAGCGUACUCCACAGUGUAUACAAAGUCUGUAGUAAUUAUAUUGGCCAUCAUCGCAACUCUAAUUGUGGUCUUAAUUUGUUUUUUUAUAGCAUGUUCUUCGUGGGACUUCACGAAGUUUCUUACUUAUAUAUUUGUGGUGGCCACAGCCUUCGCCGCCAUAUCCAUACUCAUUACGGUGGCGAUGUACGCCUUCAAGAUAAAGUUUAAGCCACUGGUUUUGGCUUUGCUUGUCAUCGGCGUUCUUAUCCAGAGUGUCGUCCUCAUAGUACAGCUCCAGUUGACUCUUGGAGGGAAAACAGUGGCGACUGGCGAAGAGUUUUACAUUAUAUGUGCGUUUUCGUUGUACACAUCAAUCAUUUCAAUAUUCUUACAAUUAUUGAGGUUUAUAAAAUUGGUGUCAUAAAGUUUGUAAAGGACUCUACUCACUACACU
Long non-coding RNA from Ostrinia nubilalis (European corn borer), 1018 nucleotides. RefSeq lists it as uncharacterized. The record is from RefSeq and is a predicted model, not a curated record. The transcript is spliced from 7 exons. Lineage: Eukaryota; Metazoa; Arthropoda; Insecta; Lepidoptera; Crambidae.